RNAcentral lists this long non-coding RNA (560 nucleotides) under Ananas comosus (pineapple). RNAcentral describes it as "long non-coding RNA (ACOM_LNC000931)". The record is from RNAcentral. Lineage: Eukaryota; Viridiplantae; Streptophyta; Magnoliopsida; Poales; Bromeliaceae.
CAAAUUUAUUAAUUAUAUAACCGUUUUAAUCACAUAUUUUAUACCUGGUUAAUUUUCUAUGACUUUAAACCACAAUAAACUCUAUAUAUCCUAUUUCUUCUCUUCUUAACAUGAUAAUUAAGCAUCAGAAUUGAAAUGUAAAGUGAAACUACAUUUAAUUUUGGAUUAAUUGCAUACAGAUCCCUGCAAAUAUAGUGAAUUGUAAAUAUAUAUAUUUUUAUAAAGUUCAACUUUCAUAAGUUAUUCCUACAAAAGUUUUAAUGUUUUCAGAUUUGUCCUUCUAGUUUAUUACAACCGUUAGAAAACUGUUUAUAUUUUUAAUUUUGCCAUCACAAAUAUGUUAAUCCAAAAAUUAUAACAAUAUAAUAUAAAAGGAGUAAAAAUGUCAAAAAGUAACCCGAGUAGUAUUUAACCUAUAGUUAACUAAACUUUUCUAACGGAUUCUAACGGUAAGGACAUAUCUGAAAACAUUAGAACUUUUGUAGAAAUAACUUAUGAAAGUUAAACUUUACAGAAAUAUAUUUGCAAUUCACUAUAUUUGCGGGGACCUGUAUGAAAUU